UUGGGGUCCUCAGACAUUUUUGGGGUCUACAGAGCAGAGCUGAUGGCUUUCAGGACUGAAAACCCAAACUGUACAGCCCUGGGGUCUACACAUCAGAACAGAUGGGGGACUACUGACAUUUUUGGGGCCUACAGACCAGCACCAAUGACUUUCAUGGCUUCAAACCCAUGCUGAGCAUUUCUGGGGUCUACAAAACAGAAAUGUUGGACAUCACAGACAUUUCUGAGGUCUACAGACCAGCACCAAUGACUUCCAGGGCUUCAAACCCACGCUCUCCAUUUCUGGGGUCUACAGAGCAGAAAUGUUGGGGUCUACAGACAGAACUGGUGGGGGACUACUGACAUUUCUGGGGUCUACCAACCAGCACCAAUGGCUUUCAGGGCUGAAAACCCAUGCUGUGCAUUUCUGGGGUCUACAGAGCAGAAAUGUAGGGGUCCUCAGACAUUUUUGGGGUCUACAGUGCAGCACCAAUGGCUUUUGAGGCUUCAAACCCAUGCUGCACAUCCUCAGGCACAUUUUUGGGGUCUACAGCCCAGCACCAGUGAAUUCCAGGGCUUCAAACCCAUGCUGUGCAUUUCUGGGGUCUACAGAGCAGAAAUGUUGGGGUCCUCAGACAUUUUUGGGGUCUACAGACCAGCACCAAUGACUUUUAGGGCUUCAAACCCAUGCUGUGCAUUUCUGGGGUCUACAGAGCAGAGCCAAUGGCUUUCAGGGCUGAAAACCCAAACUGUACAGUCUUGGGGUCUACAGAUCAGAACAGAUGGGGGUCUACUGACAUUUCUGGGAUCUACUGACCAGCACUGAUGACUUUCAUGGCUUCAAAACCCAUGCUGUGCAUUUCUGGGGUCUACAGAGCAGAAAUGUAGGGGUCCACAUACAUUUUUGGGGUCUACAGUGCAGCACCAAUGGCUUUUGAGGCUUCAAACCCAUGCUGUACAUCCUCAGGCACAUUUCUGGGGUCUACAGACCAGAGCUGAUGGCUUUCAGGGCUGAAAACCCAAACUGUACAGUCCUGGGGUCUACACAUCAGAACAGACGGGGGACUACUGACAUUUUUGGGGCCUACAGACCAGCACCGAUGGCUUUCAGGGCUUCAAACCCAUGCUGUGCAUUUCUGGUGUCUACAAAGCAGAAAUGUUGGGGUCCUCAGACAUUUUUGGGGUCUACAGACCAGCACC
This 1178-nucleotide long non-coding RNA is filed under the name Numida meleagris (helmeted guineafowl). Its description in RNAcentral is "lncRNA (ENSNMEG00000005224.1)". The record is from RNAcentral. Lineage: Eukaryota; Metazoa; Chordata; Aves; Galliformes; Numididae.